GACGCAACCUCUGAGGAGCCCUAGGCAGCAGGACCAAAGAUAAGAAUGGCUUUAGACCAGGAAACACAUCUUCUGGUGGAUUGAAGAUUCUGACUGCAGCAGCGGCAAUGCUGAGGAAGUGGGGAUUCAUUACUUUUCCAUCCAGGAAAGAAAGAAUCACCAUGAGAGAAAAAGCCUUUUUCUUGGUCACUGCUCCAUCUAGCUCCCUCCACACUUGACUUCUGCAGAAUGCCUGGCGGCUCAGAUAAAACCCCUAGAAGGAGAACAGUGAUGCUCUGAACUUAGCAUGACCUCAUCACUUCAGACGUGAGAUUCACUGCGGAAGGAGGAAGACAUCCUUCUCUCCAGCACACCCGCACUUUUUGAGAUGCAAUGGCUCUCAUUAA
Pogona vitticeps (central bearded dragon) is the source of this 386-nucleotide non-coding RNA. The record is from RefSeq and is a predicted model, not a curated record. Lineage: Eukaryota; Metazoa; Chordata; Lepidosauria; Squamata; Agamidae.